Molecule: ribosomal RNA, 403 nt
Filed under: bacterium
Lineage: Bacteria
Description: partial 16S ribosomal RNA
Rfam family: Bacterial small subunit ribosomal RNA
Source: RNAcentral
UGGGGAAUAAUGCACAAUGGAGGGAACUCUGAUGCAGCGACGCCGCGUGAACGAAGAAGGCUUUCGAGUCGUAAAGUUCUUUUAUAUGGGAAGAUAAUGACGGUACCAUAAGAAAAAGCCCCGGCUAACUACGUGCCAGCAGCCGCGGUAAUACGUAGGGGGCUAGCGUUGGCCGGAAUCACUGGGCGUAAAGGGUUCGCAGGCGGAAAUGCAAGUCAGGUGUAAAAGGCAGUAGCUUAACUACUAUAAGCAUUUGAAACUGCAUAUCUUGAGAAGAGUAGAGGUAAGUGGAAUUUUUAGUGUAGCGAUGAAAUGCGUAGAUAUUAAAAAGAAUACCGGUGGCGAAGGCGACUUACUGGGCUCAUUCUGACGCUGAGGAACGAAAGCGUGGGUAGCAAACAGG